UACAGAGACUGCAAGCGUUGUUCGGAUUCAUUGGGCGUAAAGGGUCCGUAGGCGGUCGGUUAAGUCGGAUGUGAAAUCUCGUGGCCUAACCACGAGCGGUCAUUCGAAACUAAUCGGCUAGAGGGCUGGAGAGGAGACUGGAAUUGUCGGUGUAGCGGUGAAAUGCGCAGAUAUCAGGAGGAACACCAAUGGCGAAGGCAGCUCGCUGGAACGGUACUGACGCUGAGGCGCGAAAGCGUGGGGAGCGAACAGG
RNAcentral lists this ribosomal RNA (253 nucleotides) under uncultured bacterium. RNAcentral describes it as "partial 16S ribosomal RNA". It matches the Rfam family "Bacterial small subunit ribosomal RNA", at positions 524 to 776 of the family's 1533-position model. The record is from RNAcentral.